AGUGAACGCUGGCGGUAGGCCUAACACAUGCAAGUCGAACGGCAGCACAGAGGAGCUUGCUCCUUGGGUGGCGAGUGGCGGACGGGUGAGGAAUACAUCGGAAUCUACUCUGUCGUGGGGGAUAACGUAGGGAAACUUACGCUAAUACCGCAUACGACCUACGGGUGAAAGCAGGGGAUCUUCGGACCUUGCGCGAUUGAAUGAGCCGAUGUCGGAUUAGCUAGUUGGCGGGGUAAAGGCCCACCAAGGCGACGAUCCGUAGCUGGUCUGAGAGGAUGAUCAGCCACACUGGAACUGAGACACGGUCCAGACUCCUACGGGAGGCAGCAGUGGGGAAUAUUGGACAAUGGGCGCAAGCCUGAUCCAGCCAUACCGCGUGGGUGAAGAAGGCCUUCGGGUUGUAAAGCCCUUUUGUUGGGAAAGAAAUCCAGCCGGCUAAUACCUGGUUGGGAUGACGGUACCCAAAGAAUAAGCACCGGCUAACUUCGUGCCAGCAGCCGCGGUAAUACGAAGGGUGCAAGCGUUACUCGGAAUUACUGGGCGUAAAGCGUGCGUAGGUGGUCGUUUAAGUCCGUUGUGAAAGCCCUGGGCUCAACCUGGGAACUGCAGUGGAUACUGGGCGACUAGAGUGUGGUAGAGGGUAGCGGAAUUCCUGGUGUAGCAGUGAAAUGCGUAGAGAUCAGGAGGAACAUCCAUGGCGAAGGCAGCUACCUGGACCAACACUGACACUGAGGCACGAAAGCGUGGGGAGCAAACAGG
Molecule: ribosomal RNA, 759 nt
Filed under: uncultured Stenotrophomonas sp.
Lineage: Bacteria; Pseudomonadati; Pseudomonadota; Gammaproteobacteria; Lysobacterales; Lysobacteraceae
Description: bacterial SSU rRNA
Rfam family: Bacterial small subunit ribosomal RNA
Source: RNAcentral